Molecule: ribosomal RNA, 538 nt
Filed under: Metarhizium anisopliae
Lineage: Eukaryota; Fungi; Ascomycota; Sordariomycetes; Hypocreales; Clavicipitaceae
Description: partial large subunit ribosomal RNA
Rfam family: Eukaryotic large subunit ribosomal RNA
Source: RNAcentral
GAGGAAAAGGAACCAACAGGGAUUGCCCCAGUAACGGCGAGUGAAGCGGCAACAGCUCAAAUUUGAAAUCUGGUCCCCAGGGCCCGAGUUGUAAUUUGCAGAGGAUGCUUUUGGUGAGGUGCCUUCCGAGUUCCCUGGAACGGGACGCCAUAGAGGGUGAGAGCCCCGUCUGGUUGGAUACCGAGCCUCUGUAAAGCUCCUUCGACGAGUCGAGUAGUUUGGGAAUGCUGCUCUAAAUGGGAGGUAUAUGUCUUCUAAAGCUAAAUAUUGGCCAGAGACCGAUAGCGCACAAGUAGAGUGAUCGAAAGAUGAAAAGCACUUUGAAAAGAGGGUUAAAUAGUACGUGAAAUUGUUGAAAGGGAAGCACUUAUGACCAGACUUGGCCCCGGUGAAUCAUCCAGCGGUUCCCGCUGGUGCACUUUGCCGGGGUUCAGGCCAGCAUCAGUUCGCUCCGGGGGAUAAAGGCUUUGGGAAUGUGGCUCCCUCGGGAGUGUUAUAGCCCAUUGCGUAAUACCCUGUGGCGGGCUGAGGUUCGCGC